Non-coding RNA from Ornithorhynchus anatinus (platypus), 72 nucleotides. Lineage: Eukaryota; Metazoa; Chordata; Mammalia; Monotremata; Ornithorhynchidae. The record is from Rfam.
AGCAGCGUGGCUCAGUGGAAAGAGCACGGGCUUGGGAGCCAGCGGUCAUGGGUUCGAAUCCCAGCUCUGCCA